AGAGUUUGAUCCUGGCUCAGAUUGAACGCUGGCGGCAUGCCUUACACAUGCAANUCGAACGGUAACGCGGGGCAACCUGGCGACGAGUGGCGAACGGGUGAGUAAUGCAUCGGAACGUGCCCAGUAGUGGGGGAUAGCCCGGCGAAAGCCGGAUUAAUACCGCAUACGACCUACGGGUGAAAGGGGGGGAUCGCAAGACCUCUCGCUAUUGGAGCGGCCGAUGUCAGAUUAGCUAGUUGGUGGGGUAAAGGCCUACCAAGGCGACGAUCUGUAGCUGGUCUGAGAGGACGACCAGCCACACUGGGACUGAGACACGGCCCAGACUCCUACGGGAGGCAGCAGUGGGGAAUUUUGGACAAUGGGCGCAAGCCUGAUCCAGCCAUGCCGCGUGCGGGAAGAAGGCCUUCGGGUUGUAAACCGCUUUUGUCAGGGAAGAAAUCUUCUGAGUUAAUACCUCGGGAGGAUGACGGUACCUGAAGAAUAAGCACCGGCUAACUACGUGCCAGCAGCCGCGGUAAUACGUAGGGUGCGAGCGUUAAUCGGAAUUACUGGGCGUAAAGCGUGCGCAGGCGGUUAUGCAAGACAGAUGUGAAAUCCCCGGGCUCAACCUGGGAACUGCAUUUGUGACUGCAUAGCUGGAGUGCGGCAGAGGGGGAUGGAAUUCCGCGUGUAGCAGUGAAAUGCGUAGAUAUGCGGAGGAACACCGAUGGCGAAGGCAAUCCCCUGGGCCUGCACUGACGCUCAUGCACGAAAGCGUGGGGAGCAAACAGGAUUAGAUACCCUGGUAGUCCACGCCCUAAACGAUGUCAACUGGUUGUUGGGAAGGUUCCUUCUCAGUAACGUAGCUAACGCGUGAAGUUGACCGCCUGGGGAGUACGGCCGCAAGGUUGAAACUCAAAGGAAUUGACGGGGCACCCGCACAAGCGGUGGAUGAUGUGGUUUAAUUCGGAUGCAACGCGAAAAACCUUACCUACCCUUGACAUGUCUGGAAUCUUGCAUAGAUGUGAGAGUGCUCGAAAGAGAACCAGAACACAGGUGCUGCAUGGCCGUCGUCAGCUCGUGUCGUGAGAUGUUGGGUUAAGUCCCGCAACGAGCGCAACCCUUGUCAUUAGUUGCUACGAAAGGGCACUCUAAUGAGACUGCCGGUGACAAACCGGAGGAAGGUGGGGAUGACGUCAGGUCCUCAUGGCCCUUAUGGGUAGGGCUACACACGUCAUACAAUGGCCGGUACAGAGGGCUGCCAACCCGCGAGGGGGAGCCAAUCCCAGAAAACCGGUCGUAGUCCGGAUCGCAGUCUGCAACUCGACUGCGUGAAGUCGGAAUCGCUAGUAAUCGCGGAUCAGCUUGCCGCGGUGAAUACGUUCCCGGGUCUUGUACACACCGCCCGUCACACCAUGGGAGCGGGUUCUGCCAGAAGUAGUUAGCCUAACCGCAAGGGGGGCGAUUACCACGGCAGGGUUCGUGACUGGGGUGAAGUCGUAACAAGGUA
This 1489-nucleotide ribosomal RNA is filed under the name uncultured bacterium. RNAcentral describes it as "bacterial SSU rRNA". It matches the Rfam family "Bacterial small subunit ribosomal RNA". The record is from RNAcentral.